Molecule: long non-coding RNA, 3279 nt
Organism: Callithrix jacchus (white-tufted-ear marmoset)
Lineage: Eukaryota; Metazoa; Chordata; Mammalia; Primates; Cebidae
Source: Ensembl
CUCCAUUCAAAGCUGUGGGAAAGUUGUGACUUAGAGAAUUGAGAAUUUGCCCAUGGCCACAUAGCUAGUAACAGUCUUAAUGGGCUUGAACACAGAUGCACAGAUUGUAAUUUUCUUUCUGUUAUUCUAAGAAUGGAAAAAAAUUUGCUCUUGUGGGCCAACUUUGACUGGUUGUCAGUAUUUUCCUGGAGUGGUAUGGGGAUACCUCUGCAGAUUCAUUGCAUGGGAAUAUUGGUGAUGCUGAGGUGUGGAGUAUGAGAUCCACAGGGGCAGAAAGUGACCAGGAGAGCUCUAGAAAAGCCAGAGAGUUUGGAACAUACGCAGUGGAUCGUCUUAGCAAUGAUGAAGGCCCAACUGAGCCCUUCCCAAGUUCCAGAAGGAACACAGCCAUGCAGGGGGCAGCAGAAGCAACAGGUCUCAGUGGAGCAUCCUCUGGCCCUACAGUCAGUAACAGAACACUUUGUUUGCAAGGACACAGUCUACCGCUGUCUGAACUGAUCGAGAAACCUUUUUCCUUGCCAUUUCUCUGCCCUUGUAGUCUUAGUGCAAAUAAUUCAUUCUAGCAGUCUAUUUGCUUUCAUUUCCGUGACUAUUACAAAUAUUGCUCUUUCUGAUUCUUGUGUAAACAGCGUCGGCAAGAAUCCUUCCUCCUCUGAGAGGAUAAAGCAGAAUCAGUGCCCAGAAGUUUAAACUAGACAGUACCUCUGCCUUGCAAAAUCCUACUACAAGUCAAGAUCUGGCUUCUCUGGGGACUCUGUGAUGAGUCAGACACUCAGGGUCUAUGCCCUGGAGGAGCUUGCAGUCAAAAAGGAAAAUCAGGAAACGUGCCUAUGCCCAGAAUACACAGCAGCCGGGGCAAAGUGCUGAAGAGGGGAGAUCUGAAACACAGGACAGCCCUCGUGACUCUGAGUCAUGCUGCCGGGCUUCAGUAUUACUCUGCCACUUACUAACGUGUGAGCUUAGGCAAGUGAUUUACGUGGUCUGUGCCUCAGUUUCCUCAGCUGUAAAAUAGGGUUAAUACUAAGCAUCUACCUCUUAAAGUGGUCCUGAGGAGUAAAUGCCAAUAUAUGAAAAGUAUGUAAACAGUGCCUAGUGAAUAGUCCAUGUUGCCUUUUGGUAUUAUUUUCUACAUCUGCUUGUUAUAAAGGGCAGUUCCCACUGCUAUGGAACUCAUGUUCAUUGUUAAAAGCAAUAGUGUGUGACCUUCCCUUGUCUUUUUAUUCUUUGGAGCUUGUUUUGUAAAGAGUGUUAUCUGAAUAGCAGCAGACCUUUAGAGACAGCACCAAGUUGGUGACUGCCACACUUCCCUGUGCUGUCCAGAACCUGGUCGGCAGGUGGCCCUUAUACCCAUGUGACUCAAUGGGAUGGCCCCUGGUUGAGGCUCAUUGCCCAGGGACUUAACAAGCACCAUCCCUAGCUCUUUUGGACCCCACAGUAACUCUUCAGCUUAGCACUUCUUUCCUGUCCUGUACCUUUAUUUUUUUUUUUUUUGAGAGGGUGUUUUGCUCUUGUUGCCCAGACUGGAGUACAGUGGCACAAUCUUGGCUCAUGGCAGCCUCCGCACCCUGGGGUUCAAGUGAUUCUCCUGCCUCAGCCUCCCAAGUAGCUGGGAUUACAGGUGCUUGCCACUAUGCCUGGCUAUUUUUAAAAAUAUUUUUAGUAGAGACGAGGUUUCACCAGGUUAGUUAGGCUGGUCGCAAACUCCUGACCUCAAGUAUUCCGCCCACCCUGGCCCCCCAAAGUGCCAGGAUUGCUGGCGUGAGCCGCCACGCCUGGCUUCUGGAUCAUUUUUAAAUGAUGUUUAAAUGUGUUAUUCACACUUCCUAGAUUUCUUCUAAUGAGAAGAAAAGGGCUAAUUAAACUGGAAACCUUCUGGAAGCUUAGUCCCCUGCUCUGUGUGAUGGCAUCUUUAUAUUCCUCUCCGUGCUUAUCUCUGAGUCUCUCCUCUGCAAUGAUGUGGCUUUUCAUUAUUUCCAGCCCUCCAAGGGCCUUUUAGGGUCUCUUACCAUCUGUCUUCCCACGUUGUUGCCAGACACACCACCACUCUUUCGUGGCAUGCGUUUCUGGUGUUCAAAUCCUGGCAGCGUCAGGAGAUGUAAAUGGGGACUCUUAGAGAACUGAAAACUGUGUAUAUGCUUGAGAGGAUGGAAUGGAGAUAAGAUAGCCAGUUGUUUAAGUGUUGCUGGCUUGAAAUCAGCCCUGGUAGGAGUCACAGAACAUCUUGGAACUUGGCAGAUUCAGAGUACCCCUUGCAACCUUAUUUUCUGGCAUUUUUGGCAUGGAUUAAAAAUAAGAAGUUGGAGCUGGAAGCAAACCAGAGGUAUGCUUUCUCUGCUGUCUUCUUGAAAGGUUGGCUCACUGCCUUAGAAUCCAGGCUUUUCGAACUUCCUAAAACAACAACAACAAAAAGACCGUUAGAUCGCAGGAUUUAAACAAAACAAAACAUAUUUUUCUGAGACAAAUACUUAUCUUUUUUGCCCUACUAAACUAGCUUCCCAGGAAACUCCAGCCAGAUAAAUGAGAAGAACAGAGGAGUGAAUUCUCCUAGGAGCUGUGAAGGAGGAGAUAUUCAUCAAAUAACCCAGUGUGGGGUUGCUAAAUGUCACCAUAAUUAAGCAGGUCUACCUAGAGACGUUUAACUGGCCCCAGCACGUUGUUGGUGAUGAUUCCUUUCCAGAAGGCCCCCGGGCAGUAUGCAAGACUCCUGCUCCCAAGCCAAAGAUCUGAGCUUCUCUGUCUUUCUGGCCAAGCAGUGUAUGCACGGCUUUCCAUUUCCCUUUUUACGGAGUCUCCUGGAGAGGAUGCGUCGGGGGCUGCUUCAUUUAGCAGUUAGCUUCUCACUGAUCCAUAAAUCACUCAGCAGGUAGGCGGCAUGGUGCAGAAUAGCCAAGUGGAUGUCAGAUCCAGUGUUGGAGCACUGGGGAACUGAGCAAAACGUUGGUCCUGACUCGAAGGCAGCUGCUGGCUCGAGCUGUGCCAGCCUGCACAUCAGACGGAAGAGAUGCUGGCCCAUCAGCCAUCACAGAGUCCCAGACCCGUGGACUCAACCCCAGGAAAGUUGAUGUCAGCUACACAUUAGGAUCAUCUGUGGCAAUUUUUUAACCUUUCAGUGGUUGAAAACUAAAGAUGCAGCUUAGACCCAUCACGUGAGAAUCUCUGGUGGUGGUACCCGGGGAUAAGGGGUUGUGAAAUCUCCCUCGGUGAUUCCAUUGUGCGCUCAAGGUUGAAAACCACUGCCCUGAAGAGUGAGGGCAAAUUCCCAACAUGGAUCCAGCUGGU